UACGUAGGGGGCGAGCGUUGUCCGGAUUUACUGGGCGUAAAGAGCGCGCAGGCGGUCGUUCAAGUCGCGUGUGAAAGCCCCCGGCUCAACUGGGGAGGGUCACGCGAUACUGAUCGACUCGAAGGCAGGAGAGGGAAGUGGAAUUCCCGGUGUAGCGGUGAAAUGCGUAGAUAUCGGGAGGAAUACCUAUGGCGAAAGCAGGCUACUGGACCGUCACUGACUCUGAUCUGCGAAAGCUAGGGGAGCAAACAGG
Molecule: ribosomal RNA, 253 nt
Filed under: uncultured bacterium
Lineage: Bacteria
Description: partial 16S ribosomal RNA
Rfam family: Bacterial small subunit ribosomal RNA
Source: RNAcentral